UUGACCCUGGGGUAUGUGUGUGUGAGGACAUGUCUCUGUCUCUCUGUUUUUCAUGUCACUCUCUUGACGUGUCAGUCUGUCUCAUGUCCCCAUCUGUCCCUUUUUUUUUUUUUUGAAAUGGAGUCUUGCUCUGUCACCCAGGCUAGAGUGCAGUGGUGCAAUCUCGGCUCACUGCCAGCUCCACCUCCUGGGUUCACGCCAUUCUCCUGCCUCAGCCUCCUGCGUAGCUGGGACUACAGGCGCCCGCCACCACGUCUGGCUAAUUUUUUGUAUUUUUAGUAGAGACAGGGUUUCACUGUGUUAGCCAGGAUGGUCUCAAUCUGACCUCAUGAUCCGCCCGCCUCGGCCUCCCAAAGUGCUGGGAUUACAGGCCUGAGCCACCAUGCCCGGCCCCCAUCUGUCCCUUUCUGCCAUCUCCAUGUCUCUAAGUCUGCAUCUAUUUCUUCUACCUCUGAGUCUGUAUUUCUUUUCUUCCCUUCUUCAUUUUCAGUCUCUGCUUUUGUGUCUCCUAGUCUCCAGGUUCUGUGUCUCCAUCCCUCUGACUUGCAUCUCCAUGUCUUCAUUUGUCCUUUUCUCCAUGUCUCUGGGUCGCCAUCACUUACUGCCUACCAAAAGCCCCUACCCUCAUGCUUAUACAUCUCUUCUCUCCCUGCCUCAGUUUAACCCAGAACUGGUGCUGGUCUCAGCUGGCUUUGAUGCUGCACGGGGGGACCCGCUGGGGGGCUGCCAGGUGUCACCUGAGGGUUAUGCCCACCUCACCCACCUGCUGAUGGGCCUUGCCAGUGGCCGCAUUAUCCUUAUCCUAGAGGGUGGCUAUAACCUGACAUCCAUCUCAGAGUCCAUGGCUGCCUGCACUCGCUCCCUCCUUGGAGACCCACCACCCCUGCUGACCCUGCCACGGCCCCCACUAUCAGGGGCCCUGGCCUCAAUCACUGAGACCAUCCAAGUCCAUCGCAGAUACUGGCGCAGCUUACGGGUCAUGAAGGUAGAAGACAGAGAAGGACCCUCCAGUUCUAAGUUGGUCACCAAGAAGGCACCCCAACCAGCCAAACCUAGGUUAGCUGAGCGGAUGACCACACGAGAAAAGAAGGUUCUGGAAGCAGGCAUGGGGAAAGUCACCUCGGCAUCAUUUGGGGAAGAGUCCACUCCAGGCCAGACUAAGUCAGAGACAGCUGUGGUGGCCCUCACUCAGGACCAGCCCUCAGAGGCAGCCACAGGGGGAGCCACUCUGGCCCAGACCAUUUCUGAGGCAGCCAUUGGGGGAGCCAUGCUGGGCCAGACCACCUCAGAGGAGGCUGUCGGGGGAGCCACUCCGGACCAGACCACCUCAGAGGAGACUGUGGGAGGAGCCAUUCUGGACCAGACCACCUCAGAGGAUGCUGUUGGGGGAGCCACGCUGGGCCAGACUACCUCAGAGGAGGCUGUAGGAGGAGCUACACUGGCCCAGACCACCUCGGAGGCAGCCAUGGAGGGAGCCACACUGGACCAGACUACGUCAGAGGAGGCUCCAGGGGGCACCGAGCUGAUCCAAACUCCUCUAGCCUCGAGCACAGACCACCAGACCACCCCAACCUCACCUGUGCAGGGAACUACACCCCAGAUAUCUCCCAGUACACUGAUUGGGAGUCUCAGGACCUUGGAGCUAGGCAGCGAAUCUCAGGGGGCCUCAGAAUCUCAGGCCCCAGGAGAGGAGAACCUACUAGGAGAGGCAGCUGGAGGUCAGGACAUGGCUGAUUCGAUGCUGAUGCAGGGAUCUAGGGGCCUCACUGAUCAGGCCAUAUUUUAUGCUGUGACACCACUGCCCUGGUGUCCCCAUUUGGUGGCAGUAUGCCCCAUACCUGCAGCAGGCCUAGACGUGACCCAACCUUGUGGGGACUGUGGAACAAUCCAAGAGAAUUGGGUGUGUCUCUCUUGCUAUCAGGUCUACUGUGGUCGUUACAUCAAUGGCCACAUGCUCCAACACCAUGGAAAUUCUGGACACCCGCUGGUCCUCAGCUACAUCGACCUGUCAGCCUGGUGUUACUACUGUCAGGCCUAUGUCCACCACCAGGCUCUCCUAGAUGUGAAGAACAUCGCCCACCAGAACAAGUUUGGGGAGGAUAUGCCCCACCCACACUAAGCCCCAGAAUACGGUCCCUCUUCACCUUCUGAGGCCCACGAUAGACCAGCUGUAGCUCAUUCCAGCCUGUACCUUGGAUGAGGGGUAGCCUCCCACUGCAUCCCAUCCUGAAUAUCCUUUGCAACUCCCCAAGAGUGCUUAUUUAAGUGUUAAUACUUUUAAGAGAACUGCGACGAUUAAUUGUGGAUCUCCCCCUGCCCAUUGCCUGCUUGAGGGGCACCACUACUCCAGCCCAGAAGGAAAGGGGGGCAGCUCAGUGGCCCCAAGAGGGAGCUGAUAUCAUGAGGAUAACAUUGGCGGGAGGGGAGUUAACUGGCAGGCAUGGCAAGGUUGCAUAUGUAAUAAAGUACAAGCUGUUAAAAAA
RNAcentral lists this small RNA (2483 nucleotides) under Pan troglodytes (chimpanzee). Its description in RNAcentral is "retained intron". Lineage: Eukaryota; Metazoa; Chordata; Mammalia; Primates; Hominidae. The record is from RNAcentral.